UGCUAUACAUGCAGUCGAGCGCAGGAAGUUAUCUGAUCCUCUUUUAGAGGUGACGAUAAUGGAAUGAGCGGCGGACGGGUGAGUAACACGUAGGCAACCUGCCUGUAAGACUGGGAUAACUCGUGGAAACGCGAGCUAAUACCGGAUAACACUUUUCAUCUCCUGAUGAGAAGUUGAAAGGCGGCUUUUGCUGUCACUUACAGAUGGGCCUGCGGCGCAUUAGCUAGUUGGUAAGGUAAUGGCUUACCAAGGCGACGAUGCGUAGCCGACCUGAGAGGGUGAUCGGCCACACUGGGACUGAGACACGGCCCACACUCCUACGGGAGGCAGCAGU
This 334-nucleotide ribosomal RNA is filed under the name Bacillus sp. CSC12. Its description in RNAcentral is "bacterial SSU rRNA". It matches the Rfam family "Bacterial small subunit ribosomal RNA", at positions 50 to 355 of the family's 1533-position model. The record is from RNAcentral. Lineage: Bacteria; Bacillati; Bacillota; Bacilli; Caryophanales; Bacillaceae.